UACUUGAAAGCGAAAUGUCGCACUAAGUUUCGGCCUUAGCUUUGAGUUAUUUGUCUCUCAAGUAU
RNAcentral lists this transfer RNA (65 nucleotides) under Notodoris gardineri. Its description in RNAcentral is "tRNA-Arg". The record is from RNAcentral. Lineage: Eukaryota; Metazoa; Mollusca; Gastropoda; Nudibranchia; Polyceridae.